GGUUUCCGUAGUAUAGCGGUUAUCACGUUCGCCUCGCGCGAAAAGUCCUUCGUUCGAAAUCUGACGAGACCU
This 72-nucleotide transfer RNA is filed under the name Scleropages formosus (Asian bonytongue). RNAcentral describes it as "tRNA-Arg". Lineage: Eukaryota; Metazoa; Chordata; Actinopteri; Osteoglossiformes; Osteoglossidae. The record is from RNAcentral.